GCUCUCUGCAGGUAGUGCCUUUAUUCAACCACCUGGCAAAUAUUUAUUGAGCACUUACUAUGGACCCAGGAGGGGUGAAUAAAGUACAUAGCCAUCAUGGAGCUCACAUUUUAGGGGGUGAAACAAAUACACAGGAGGAACAAACUCUUCAGAGCAGACACGUGUUCUGGGGUUACCAGAAAGAACCUCAGGUGGGGACUCUCCGGGAGCUGAGAUGUCCCUGGUGCAAGCACAUAGAGUGACACCAGCUUCCUUGAGGGGCUCUGAUGGCUGUGUGCAUUGGAGCACAGAGGAGAGGAGAUGAAGCCACUCCUGCCCUCCCAGGGCCCAGAGGAUGGUGGUCAUUUCUCAGCAGAGAGUCACUGGAGCCCAGCGUGGCUUCCUCCAAGAAAUAAAUGGCACCAUUGCAACUUGAACUCCUAUUGGUUCCCUUCUCUGAAGCAGAGCUGGCUUCUGUCAUAAGGGCAUGUUCUGACCUUUGCAAACUGUCACUGAAGAUAGUAAUGUGUGUCACCCUUUGCUACCAGAGGACUAUUUCUCUCUUAUCAGGGAAAUCCUGUGAGUCAUGUACCGAGGGCUAUGGAGACCUGAUUGGCGUGGGGCGCACUUGCACUGGUGACCACAGCACCCUCUUCACACUUUCUUAAAAGCAUAUAUCACGAUGUUGUGAACCACUCCUGCUGAAUUCCUCCUCUUUGGCUUCUGAAAGCUCUAAAGAGAGGAAGUCUGCCUUCUUCAUCUGGUUCCCAGGAUUUACUCCAGAGCCAGGUAAACACUGGCUCUGGAGCCCCACCCUUGGUGGCUUUCCUUCUUCCUCUGCCUGCUGGUGAGGACAUCAAGGAGGAACAUCAAGAAGGAGAAGGACAGAGAGGAGAAAGACAAGAAAACCACCCAACAUCCACAUCACCAGGCUGCCACUGCCACGGGGGUGACCAUGGCAGAGCCCUCUGGAGGUGCGCAGCAAUAGCCGCAUACUAUGGGCAGUCCUGAUGUCAAUAAUCCUGGAAAAAGGGACAUUCUUUCCCAGUAAAGGUCAGUGGGCUACCUUCCACAGGUACUCCCCAACUUGCCCUCCCUUUCCUCCUCUGUGAAGGACUGGGGAAAACUUUAUCACUCAGAUUAGGGUAAAAGCUGAUACUUACUGAAUCCUUUCCUUUAUUAACCUUCUAAUCCCCACGACAUUCCCCCUUCACAAACAAGGAAACUGGGGCAAAGUCCACCCAGCCGACAAAUCUAAUGUGGCUUUUUCCAUCACUGCCCUUUGCUAGGGCACAGGCCUGGCCCCACACACUGAGGGGGUUGGUUCUCAUGCUACUGUCUGGUGGGUCCCACACCCCCAUCCUCUCCCUGGACAGCUAGAACCAGCCUGCUCACUGUGCCCCUCAUGCUUGCCUCUCAAAGCCUUGCUCUUUCCACCAGCCACAUGGUUUCAACCACCUGGGGAUAUGGACAGGAGGUUGAAGCCAUGUCCUUUAGGAAAGGACUCAGGCUCCUUCACUCUAGAGAGCCACUGUGCUACGUGGCCUCUUGACAGUGAUGCUAUCAUCUAGGAAAACCCUAGGCCCACAUUAAUCACAGGAUUCCCUGCAGACAUUCCCUGACCAGAGCCAGUGUUGGGGCUGGACCAACCCCGUGGUUCUUAUUUUGGUUGCAGGAUGCACUUCAGCAAAUCUAUCAGGAAACUUUGAGGAACAGGAUUUAUUUCUUAUGAGUCUUGCAGGGAACAUGACACACUGAGGGCCACACACACAGCAUGGUGACAGGUAAAGAGAGGAGGCACCUGGAGUUCUGCCUUUAUUGAGGACAGAGGGUAGUGUGUCUAGGGUUUCUUGAAUUCACUCCUUCCUGGCUCAUUUAAGGCAUGAAAAUGGAAACUGAGGUACAGGGAGAAGCAGGGUCACUCAAACUGUCAUUAUGUAGCUUAUCCAGGACUUUCUGAAAGAGAGAACUUCAUAGUUUGGGGUGGCAUAAGAUUCCUUAUAUGGCUGUUUUACCAAUAAAUGUGUCUUAUAGCUGGUAAUGUGUUUGUUGGAGAUGGAUGUAUUUGCAGCCGAUGUCUUAGCAAUCAAAGGCUGAAUGUCAGGCACAUAUGUUACAAUCGAAAAGCUUAAUGUCACACUAUAGGUAU
Canis lupus familiaris (dog) is the source of this 2128-nucleotide long non-coding RNA. RefSeq lists it as uncharacterized. Lineage: Eukaryota; Metazoa; Chordata; Mammalia; Carnivora; Canidae. The transcript is spliced from 4 exons. The record is from RefSeq and is a predicted model, not a curated record.